This is an RNA transcript of Papaver somniferum (opium poppy), 1933 nucleotides long. RefSeq lists it as uncharacterized. NCBI's taxonomy places the organism in Eukaryota, Viridiplantae, Streptophyta, Magnoliopsida, Ranunculales, Papaveraceae. The transcript is spliced from 4 exons. The record is from RefSeq and is a predicted model, not a curated record.
UUCUCAUUCACCUGAAACUGAAGACGAGAAGAAAAGAAAUAAGAGCAGCGGCUGCUGCUUAUUCAGAUCGAGAAAUAGGCAGAGAUUGAGAGAUGAAAGAUAGAGAUUAAGAAUGAAUUGAAAAAAAUUGAUGAUCAUGAUGGUGUUCGAUUAAAAAGUUGAUGGUCUUAUGGAUGAUGUUUCUAUCGGUGUUUGCAGAUGAAACUGAAGAGGAAAUCGAAGCUGAAAUUGAUAUGAGUUUUUCGAGAUAAGGGUUAUUGAGAACUGAGAUUGAUGAUUAAGUCAAAAGAAUUGAAAAUUUUCAGAAUCUAGGGUUUGGUUUUGGGAAGAGCAGCUGAGACUGUUUCUGAGGUAAGUAGGAGAAUGGAUUAGUUGAAGAUGAGGGUUUGAAAGUUCUUGGAUGAUGAUAAGAGUUGGGUUGAGCUCCAUUUGCAACCUGAUGGAGAAAUCAAUUGAGAAAAAAUAUUCCAGCAUAUGAAGAACUUAUUAAUUGCUUCUUAAGAAAAUAUAUAAUGCAUGAGGGGUGAUGUAAUUGUGUAGUUAAUGCAGUUUCAAGGUGGUUGGUGAGAAUCCAAAAUUGAGUAGCCGGUACCAAGGUGAUGUAGUUCCUUAUAUUGACUAUGCAUUCUGUAAAUACAUCAGACUAACAUGAAAUUCUUAAUGUAGGUUCCCAGUUCAAUAUCAUUUAAGGAUCUUACUAUCUCAAUCAUUUUUGUGGCAUUAUACUCAACUGGCCAUGAUGGAAGAGGUAGACAACCUGUACACAAUCUAUUUUGGAAGCAAUUUUUACAGGAAUAUGUAGUAUCAUACUCAACCAAGGCGUUUUCCCUGAGUCCUUUAGGGAUGGUAAAAUGUCUUGGAUGUUGCCGCAUUGGACAAAAUGAUUACCAGAUACUUGAGUCCUUUAGGGUAUGCCAAGAUCUAGACUGGUUCUGUUUCAGUUAUUUUGGGCUUUGCUGUAGUUUAUGACUUUAACGGGAGUGUGUUCGAUCUAUAUUGUUUUUAUUUUAUUGUCGCAGCUAUACAUAGAUUAGAAAUGAUAGGAUAAAAAAAUAUAAAAAAUCACACAUUUGUUGAGUCGAAAGAGAUGACGGGAGCUGCGAUUUGCUGUAGUUUAUGGCUUCAAUGGGAGCCUGUUCGACCCAGAAAUAAAUGGUUAUAUACAUUAGCACAAGAUCUCUCAUUGGUCUGCAAUGAACAGUUUAAAGGAAAACCGUUCUCCUCAGUCCUCAUGGAGAUCACAUUCCAUGGAAUUUUUGGGAUCAUAUGUUUCCAAGUCUUCCAGGCGCUCAGAUUGUGUGCACUGUUAUCCAUAUCGCUGUGCCAUAAAGAUAUGAUUUCAUAGGGAUCGCGCCGUUGCACCCGGCUACCCACAGUAUUGCAAGACAUAAACACUAUCAUGCUCGGAUUGUUGUUGUUGCUUGGAUUUUGUUCAAAUUUAUCAAACUACCUGCAAGUCCAGAUUUAAUGAGUUGAUGUGACUCAUGCAUACUCACACAAAAAAGAAACACAGUAUAUUCUGACAUGCCUGCUAAGGAUUCAAGCCAGCAAAGUUGAGUUCAAAUUAGUGACCAAAAUAAGAUUUGUCUAUGUAUCUUUCUAGGCAAAAUAAACUUCAUUUUAUGUUUGUGUAUUAUGCACACAUCCCAAUCUGUAAAGUAUACAGAUUGUGUUACGAAGAUAUAUAAAUUUGGAUAUUGAAAGAUCCAAAGUCUGUUGUUAUUGAAGAAAGCUGUAGCUCUAUAAUGCUACAAAAUGAUGCAGGAAAUGCAGGACUAUCAAUUUCAUGUGUAUUUCAGUUGCUAAAGUGCAUAUUCAAGUAGUUGGCCACGUUGAUUGCACACAAGGUGUCAGGUUGUCGAGAUCUCUGCCUUGGGACCACUCUUACUUGAGACAUAAACUAAAGGAGGUUCAUUUAAUCAAUAUCAAAAUG